GCAGCAGCCGCGGUAAAACGUAGGGGGCGAGCGUUGUCCGGAAUUACUGGGCGUAAAGGGCGCGUAGGCGGUUUUCCAAGUCAGAGGUGAAAACUACCGGCUUAACCGGUAGCCUGCCUCUGAAACUGGGAGACUUGAGGGCAGGAGAGGGGAGUGGAAUUCCCAGUGUAGCGGUGAAAUGCGUAGAUAUUGGGAGGAACACCAGUGGCGAAGGCGGCUCUCUGGCCUGUUACUGACGCUGAGGCGCGAAAGCGUGGGGAGCGAACGGGAUUAGAUACCCCGGUAGUCCACGCCGUAAACGAUGGGUGCUAGGUGUAGGAGGUAUCGACCCCUUCUGUGCCGUAGUUAACACAAUAAGCACCCCGCCUGGGGAGUACGGCCGCAAGGUUGAAACUUAAAGGAAUUGGCGGGGGA
This 414-nucleotide ribosomal RNA is filed under the name uncultured bacterium. Its description in RNAcentral is "bacterial SSU rRNA". It matches the Rfam family "Bacterial small subunit ribosomal RNA", at positions 508 to 920 of the family's 1533-position model. The record is from RNAcentral.